AGCUGAAUCGGAUGGCCGUGGACACUGUCGAGACUGCCGUCGCUUUGGUUCCGCCGCAGCCGCCGCCGAGAUCGGAGAUGAGCGAGGACGAGCUCCCGCCCGUCGAGGGGUGGGCGAAGCGGAAGCGCUCGAAGCGCCACCACCGUUUCUUCGACCACCCGCCGACUGAGGAGGAGUACCUGGCCCUCUGCCUCAUGAUGCUCGCCCGCGGCGGCUCCGGCCACCACCUCCCGUCCGUCUCCACCGCCUCUGCCGCGGCGACUCCUACGCCCACCGCGAAGGUCGGGUUCAAGUGCUCCGUCUGCGGCAAGGCCUUCGGUUCCUACCAAGCGCUAGGAGGGCACAAGGCCAGCCACCGCAAGCUCAACGCCAGCAGCGGCGGGGAGGAGCCCUCCGCCGCCGCGUCCCCGGCCGCUUCCGCUUCCGGCUC
This 430-nucleotide long non-coding RNA is filed under the name Musa acuminata (dwarf banana). RNAcentral describes it as "long non-coding RNA (MACU_LNC005502)". The record is from RNAcentral. Lineage: Eukaryota; Viridiplantae; Streptophyta; Magnoliopsida; Zingiberales; Musaceae.